This is a long non-coding RNA of Chinchilla lanigera (long-tailed chinchilla), 402 nucleotides long. RefSeq lists it as uncharacterized. The transcript has 2 exons. The record is from RefSeq and is a predicted model, not a curated record. Lineage: Eukaryota; Metazoa; Chordata; Mammalia; Rodentia; Chinchillidae.
UCUGAGCUAAGAGUUCUUUUAACUGCCGCUGCAAACUGACAAGGCUCUGAAUGUGCUCUUUUCAGCAGUAGGAGCUAAAAACCAUGUCAACAUCGUGCUGCUUUGGAGCUGGCUGGGGUAACUUCCACAGCACCAACAAAAGCCGCAGUGUGAGCGCAGAUGAUCUGCGCUGCUAGGAAAGCCCGAUCCGUCUGACCGGGCACAGCCGUGAAGCCCCAUCAUCUCCACGAACUGAGAUGAGAUGUGGAACUGUAGACCUGAAUCCCUGUUGAGAUAGAAUGACUAUAGCCAACCACAGGACGACCGAGACUGGACACGUGCCAUCAGCUGAAAUCCAUUAGAUAAUUACAUUUCAACAUAAAACACCCGUGUUGCUUCAAUUAAAUAUUACACUUUCCAUUC